This is a long non-coding RNA of Scleropages formosus (Asian bonytongue), 1668 nucleotides long. The record is from Ensembl. NCBI's taxonomy places the organism in Eukaryota, Metazoa, Chordata, Actinopteri, Osteoglossiformes, Osteoglossidae.
AUGCAAUAAUGCUACACGCCUUGGCGCUUCUCUCCAGGAGCGUCGGUCGGGUGCGAGCGGACUGACUAGGCUACGCAUUGAAUCGAUGGGGAGGGGGGGGGGGACGCGUCGCCGCAAUAGCAGUCCUCGCUAUCAUUAUAGACAGUGAAUUUAAAGUGCUCCUCACGGUUAUUGUACACAGAGCACUUAUUUGCAAAUUUGGCGCCGUGCUGGAGAGGGGACAUGAUGACAAACACGGUGCGCACUGUAAGAAAUUGAUCCAAAAAAAAAGAAUAAAGGGACGCGGGUUCCGGAGCGUCGCCGGCUGUUCUGCUCGUCCGCCGACCUCUCCCCGCAGAUGUAGUUAUCGCUGCGCUGUCAGCAGCUCGUGGGAGCGAAGGGCGCGCGCGCACGCCGAGAUGUCGGCGGGGAGCCCGACGCCCCCGUCGCGCGACUCUUUCUGUGUCGCGCGUCCUGAACGAGGGGACCAGGGCUCCGCUUGGUCUGGAACCGGGACCGGGGCCGACACGGACACGGACCCCGACUCCGACGUGGACAUGGACAUGUUCUGCUGUCACCGUGUCCAGGAUUCUCUUCUGAGCUCUGAUAGCCGCUUCACAGACUACAGAGGGAUCCUCAACUGGAUCAUCAUUCUGCUGGUGAGCUUGUGUCUCUCACUCACUGUGUAAACACACUAUUUUGUUGAAGAUCGUAGAGAAUAUUGGUGGUCUUCAAAGCUCGGGUUGAUGAUUGAGGUGUUUGGUUGUUCGACUGGUGAUGAAACAUUCGCAACCUAAAUGCCAAGCUCGGCGAACAACCAAACACCUCAACACUCUUUCGUCCAUAAGUGAGGUGUACCGAGGUCUCCUUCCUCAUUCCAUCAUUGGGGUCUGCUGAUGCCAACCCCUGCCCUCUCAUUUUGAUGUGUCCAUUUCCUGUUUUUGGAAAGUGAUAGUUUUACUGCAAACAAAAUAGACUUGCAGCUGCAAAUGAAUUUAGUCUUUUCUCGACAUGCCAGCCAAGCGUUUCUUUGUAGACUCAAGACUGCCGCCGAAUACCGCACUUCCAAAAACCUGAAGGCCAAUAGUAAAAACUUUUUCUAGGUCUCCGCAACUGUGGGUUUUCGCUUCGUAAUUAUGGCGUGUUAUUUGCCGACUGAUGCCAGAAAAGAAUCGGUGAAAUACAUUUUGAAAUGCCUAUAGCACAAUGAAAGGGGGAGGGGGGGAUCUGAAUACUUUCUCCAUAUACUUUCUCCAUUUUUGCCCAUUACAACAUGGUUUUGUUGCCACAACAAGUGCUUUAUUCUGUAUAACUGCAUUGGCAUUUGUACAAGAGGUUACACUUGUUGAUGUCUCAAACCGAAAAGGUAUUUGUCCCUUGGCGGUGUCAAAAUAACUAUCUUCUGGCUAAAUGUAGUUUGUUAACUUCUAAAUUACCCAGGAAACAAUAUAUUAGGUCUGAAUGGUGUUCGGAUUCCUCUCUUUUAAUAUUGGCAAGUGCUGGAUGCAGGAAGAUGUUUGGUUUUUUAACAUUCACACGUCUUCAAUAACAAAACCGGUGAUUCCUGAACAUGACCUCAACUUUUUAUUUUUCUCUUUUAAUGAAUUGAGGUUGCAUGUUCUUAAUCUGGGAACCAGUAUUUUAUUCCAUAAAAAAUAAGGGAAAUUCAACCAUCCCCCACCCCAACAA